Non-coding RNA from Cucurbita pepo subsp. pepo (vegetable marrow), 2007 nucleotides. The record is from RefSeq and is a predicted model, not a curated record. Lineage: Eukaryota; Viridiplantae; Streptophyta; Magnoliopsida; Cucurbitales; Cucurbitaceae.
UCCUCUUAACCUCUCUGCCAUCGCUCUUUUGGCGGUUUAAAAGGAUUGCAUUUGUAUUUUUUUUCUUUUCGGUUUGGAACCUCUGAACGCAACGCUCGCGUCUCUCCCCAAUACUCUAAUCGAGCUGAACUCGGAUCUUCAGCUUCCUUGCUGGAUUGAGCUUAGGAGUAAAUGGAUCAAGAAGUGCAUUUCUGCCAGAAGUUCACAAAUAUGAAUUAUCAUUGGGUAAAAAUGGAGGGAUCUUUUCUUCCUGCACCAUUAAAUGAAUCAAAUGAAGUCGAUCAUUUUCUUGUGGAGCCUAAAAGCGACCAUGAAUUAGGAAAUUGCUUGAGAGUUCAAGAUUUCUCUCGUGACUUUGGCUACGAAAUACAAACAAAUGGUGAUGCCGAAGUUGAUGAAAAUUCUUUCAGACAGAAUAGGGGAUUACAAUUGGGAAAGCCAAGUUCAGAGAGUAAAUCUCAGGGAUCAAGCAGGAGUGAUACUGAUGCUUUUGAAAUAUCAGAAUUGUCAGCAACAAUGGUAAUGGAGGCUGAAUUCAACAAUACACCUGUUGAGAGGAGUUUGACUCGUGAGUUGUUCUCUGGUCUGAGGACCAGAGGUGGGUGUGCAACACCAUUUGAAGGCAACAUCUGUGAUACAAUACUUGAUAAUAAUAAUAUCCAUAAGUUCAAUACUAAUGAAAACUAUCUUCAAAAUGAGAAAAUAUCUGAUGAAAAUGUGAAGGGUGAUAUUGUGGCAAGCAAACUUGCCAGUUGCUCAAGAGAGAGGAGAUUGCGCAAGCCUACUCGAAGAUACAUAGAAGAAUUUGCAGAUUCAAAGUCUGAAAAUAACAAGGGAAGGAGAAAAUCUCCUACAAAAGAUAAAUACCUGAAAGUGACUUCUACUGUGGAAUCUAAUCACAUUAGACAUAAGGUACAAAUGUUGGCCCCUAAAGAUGAAUCGCAUUGUGGUACGUCUGUUCCAGUGCAGUCUCGAUCUCAGAGAAGACAUCCAGAGAAGCAUGUACCAGUUUCAGUACGAGAGUUUUCUCUCUUGAUAUCUGUUCAUCCUGCCAAUAUAAUUAUCAUUGAAAUUUCUCUGUUUUAUCUGCCUUCCAUAUAUUAUUUGUUUUUUUUUUUUUUUUUUUUUUUUUGUUUUCUUUUUUGUGGUUCAUUUGGUUUGGCCCAAAGUCUUUCUAGAUUUAAAGUUGAAGCCACUUUAUUGAAGUCAUUCAUGAUGCCAUAUCUUUUUUUUUUUUUUUUUUUUUUUUUUUUUUUUUUNUUUUUUUUUUUUUUUUUUUUUUUGAAACACAUUCAACUUUGUACACCCGUGUGAGUUGUAAAUAGACAGUAUAGGCACAUCUUGUUGUAUAUGUAUAGGCACAUCUUUGAUUGUUUCCUUUUGGUAAUAAUUCAGAUGAUUAUAAUAUUCAUCACUCAGAAUAUAAAUCUUGAAUUGCAAAAUGUUGGUACUAUAACUUUUGAUUGAUUUCUAAAUAGUUUGACCUCAAAUAUGUGGUGCAUCAAGAAAUGAUUGAACUCAUCUCAUCAUAGGAAUUAAAAGCUUUUAAGACUCGUGGUAAAUUUAAGAUGACUCAACUGCCUUUGACCGUGGACUUUCUUUUGUUUAUAUCUGGGGCCAUUGCAGACCUGAUACACUGGUGCUGGUGAAAUACAUUAUUCUGAUGUGCAGUUUUUACUGUCUGGUCUUCUGCCACUCCUUCCCGCUCACCCUUAUUUCUUCUCUGGAUUUCUGUCUGAAGACGAACCUUCUGCAACUGAGUGUAAAAAUGUUUAUUCAUCUGCCAAAAUAUGUAAAAAGUAUGAUAGGAGGAAGCACCAGAAGAUGUGGACCCUUACUGAAGUGAUGCGAUUGGUUGAUGGAAUUGCUGAAUAUGGAACUGGCCGCUGGACUCGUAUAAAGAGGCACCUAUUUGCGUCUUCUCCUCAUCGUACGCCCAUAGAUCUCAGGGACAAAUGGCGGAAUCUUUUGAAAGCUAGCUGUGUUAACAUACAGAACAGUAAAGGG